This is a non-coding RNA of Castor canadensis (American beaver), 71 nucleotides long. Lineage: Eukaryota; Metazoa; Chordata; Mammalia; Rodentia; Castoridae. The record is from the annotation of a RefSeq genome assembly.
GGCAGAAUGGCUCAGUGGUAGAGUGUCUGCCUAGCAAGCAUGAGGCCUGAGUUCAAAUCACAGUACUGCCA